CCCUCUUCCAAGACCGCCCGAACUACGGAGGUAAAUAAGCGUAUCCUUGCACCACCUCGUUUUAGUGGAAAAAAGGAUUCGCAAAUUACUAAUACGAAGACAUGGUUUGCGCUGCUUAUGCAAUACUUUGACUUGCCGCAAAUGGACCCGCUUGAGCACUUUAUGUUCUGGCUUACCGGCAAGGCUCAGGAGUGGGCCGCCGAUCUUUUCCUUAAGCACAAGUCCGGCGCACAACCACUCACCCGCGAUCUGUUGCGUGAUAAAUUCCUGUUACAAUAUGGGGAUGCGAAACGCGACACCGCGAUGGCCGCACGUGAUCGUUUGCACGCGCACGAAUACGAUAUGAAAAUAGACGAGUCCGUACCAGAGUACACGCAGCGCUUUUACGAUAUUGUUCGCGAAGCGAAUGAUAUGAGUGUUGCGGAUCAAAUCUCUUGGUACAUUAAGGGCCUAGUUCCUGCGCUGCGCAGACGAUGAGGGCAAGGACUGGCAGGAUUUAGAGAAACUCAUCAUGUAUGCUAGCGGUCAGGAAGUUCGGUGGAAAGCCGGAAAGGACAAAGCACAGCUUGCUGUGGUGACCAUGCAAGCCGGCCCGUCUAAGAUUACUUCCUCCGCUCGCCCUAAGAAUUCUCACCCUCGGUCCCCUCCUAAACAGGCCUGGGAUACGGUCCGUGCCAAGAAACAGAAGACGUCUACGUCUAGUAACUUUCUCAAGUGCCGGGUGUGCUCUCGUCUAAAGCCGGAACACCAGACUUGGGAGGAGCAUAAGAAGGACUGCCUUCGACACCUGCAGGAGCAGAUGGCUCGGCUGCAGGAGAAGACGUCCCGUUUUAACGCGAACAAGCAGAAGGAUUAGGACGCUGGCAAGCGCGAGGGGGUGUCUUGUAAGCAGGCCGUUGGUGCUGUAGCACGAGUAGACCAAGUCUCUCAAGACGAGCCUGACUUGACAACUAGGGACUUUGUUGUUCCGCCCGUUUGCGAUCCGUUGAUUUGUGAUCGGAUGUUCCUUCGUGAUGAAUUUCGAAGAGUUGAGAACGAACUUGGGCGUCAAUUUACGUUUGAUGCCGCUUGUAACGACUCGGG
This 1083-nucleotide long non-coding RNA is filed under the name Volvox carteri. RNAcentral describes it as "long non-coding RNA (VCAR_LNC003308)". Lineage: Eukaryota; Viridiplantae; Chlorophyta; Chlorophyceae; Chlamydomonadales; Volvocaceae. The record is from RNAcentral.